RNAcentral lists this ribosomal RNA (460 nucleotides) under uncultured bacterium. Its description in RNAcentral is "partial 16S ribosomal RNA". It matches the Rfam family "Bacterial small subunit ribosomal RNA", at positions 338 to 795 of the family's 1533-position model. The record is from RNAcentral.
CCUACGGGUGGCAGCAGUGAGGAAUAUUGGUCAAUGGACGAGAGUCUGAACCAGCCAAGUCGCGUGAAGGAUGAAUGCCCUGUGGGUUGUAAACUUCUUUUAUCUGGGAAUAAAACAGGGUAUGCAUACCCUCUUGUAUGUACCAUAUGAAUAAGGAUCGGCUAACUCCGUGCCAGCAGCCGCGGUAAUACGGAGGAUCCGAGCGUUAUCCGGAUUUAUUGGGUUUAAAGGGUGCGUAGGUGGAUUGUUAAGUCAGUGGUGAAAGUGUGCGGCUCAACCGUAAAAUUGCAGUUGAAACUGGCAGUCUUGAGUACAGUAGAGGUGGGCGGAAUGCGUGGUGUAGCGGUGAAAUGCUUAGAUAUCGCGAAGAACUCCGAUUGCGAAGGCAGCACACUGGACUGCAACUGACGCUGAGGCUCGAAAGUGUGGGUAUCAAACAGGAUUAGAUACCCGUGUAGUC